AAGGUGGGGCUGAUGACUGGGGUGAAGUCGUAACAAGGUAGCCGUACCGGAAGGUGCGGCUGGAUCACCUCCUAACAGGGAGACAAUAAAUUGAUUGUGAUGUCUAAGUUAUUUAUUCUUAGGCCGCAAUCCUGUCACCUUAAGGUCGAUCGGUACCUCAGAUUUUUGAAUUAGUUUUAUAAUUGAUUCUUUGAUUUCAGUUCCUAAACUUGUCUAGGUCACACCCAACAAAGGUUUCUCCUGGGCCAUUAGCUCAGGUGGUUAGAGCGCACCCCUGAUAAGGGUGAGGUCCCUGGUUCAAGUCCAGGAUGGCCCAUUCGUUGUUGGGGGUAUAGCUCAGUUGGUAGAGCGCCUGCUUUGCAAGCAGGAUGUCAGCGGUUCGAGUCCGCUUACCUCCACUGAAAACUAUCCUGAUAACUAAUUUCUGGAGAAAAAAAAUUGUAGAUGUGGCUUAGAAUUGUCUAUUUGAAAAGAACCUAGCUUCUUGUCAUCUUUUUAUAGUUGAUAAAAUGCUGGGCUCGCAUGGAUUAUUUCCAUGAGAAUUCAGUAGAACCUUGAAAACUGCAUAGAUUAGAAAGAAUAAAGCAUCUCAUGGAUGCAUAGUUCUGUUUUUAUAAUUUAGCCUCAAAACUAAAUUAUUUAAUUCUAGAAUUCAUGUUUAAUUCUUGAGUAAUAGCCGAGCACAAUUAAUUUUGUGAUUGUAUUUAAGGUCAAGCUAUAAAGGGCUCA
Molecule: unclassified non-coding RNA, 729 nt
Filed under: uncultured Prochlorococcus sp.
Lineage: Bacteria; Bacillati; Cyanobacteriota; Cyanophyceae; Synechococcales; Prochlorococcaceae
Description: partial may contain 16S ribosomal RNA, 16S-23S ribosomal RNA intergenic spacer, and 23S ribosomal RNA
Rfam family: tRNA (bases 326-398)
Source: RNAcentral